UUGUGUCAGCACGCCGCGGUAACACCGGCAGCUCAAGUGGUAGCCGCUUUUAUUGGGCCUAAAGCGUCCGUAGCCGGUCUGAUAAGUCUCUGGUGAAAUCCCACAGCUUAACUGUGGGAAUUGCUGGAGAUACUAUCAUGACUCGAGGUCGGGAGAGGCUGGAGGUACUCCCAGGGUAGGGGUGAAAUCCUGUAAUCCUGGGAGGACCACCUGUGGCGAAGGCGUCCAGCUGGAACGAACCUGACGGUGAGGAACGAAGCCCGGCC
Molecule: ribosomal RNA, 266 nt
Filed under: Methanothermobacter sp.
Lineage: Archaea; Methanobacteriati; Methanobacteriota; Methanobacteria; Methanobacteriales; Methanobacteriaceae
Description: partial 16S ribosomal RNA
Rfam family: Archaeal small subunit ribosomal RNA
Source: RNAcentral